Molecule: ribosomal RNA, 476 nt
Filed under: uncultured bacterium
Lineage: Bacteria
Description: SSU rRNA
Rfam family: Bacterial small subunit ribosomal RNA
Source: RNAcentral
AGGACGAACGCUGGCGGCGCGCCUAACACAUGCAAGUCGAGCGAGAACCAGGGCUUGCCCUGGGGACAGCGGCGAACGGGUGCGUAACACGUGAGCAACCUGCCCCAAAGACCGGGACAACCCGAGGAAACUCGGACUAAUACCGGAUGCCCUCACCGGGUCGCAUGGUCUGGUGAGGAAAUGGAUUCCGCUUUGGGAUGGGCUCGCGGUCUAUCAGCUUGUUGGUGGGGUAACGGCCUACCAAGGCGACGACGGAUAGCUGGUCUGAGAGGACGAUCAGCCACACUGGGACUGAGACACGGCCCAGACUCCUACGGGAGGCAGCAGUGGGGAAUCUUGCGCAAUGGGCGAAAGCCUGACGCAGCAACGCCGCGUGGAGGACGAAGGCUUUCUGAGUUGUAAACUCCUUUCAGCAGGGACGAUAGUGACGGUACCUGCAGAAGAGCACCGGCCAACUACGUGCCAGCAGCCGCGGU